RNAcentral lists this ribosomal RNA (997 nucleotides) under uncultured bacterium. Its description in RNAcentral is "bacterial SSU rRNA". It matches the Rfam family "Bacterial small subunit ribosomal RNA", at positions 504 to 1502 of the family's 1533-position model. The record is from RNAcentral.
UGUGUCAGCCGCCGCGGUAAUACGUAGGGGGCGAGCGUUGUCCGGAAUUACUGGGCGUAAAGGGUGCGUAGGCGGCCCUUUAAGUCAGAUGUGAAAGCCCGCAGCUUAACUGCGGAAUUGCAUUUGAAACUGGAGGGCUUGAGUGUCGGAGAGGGUAGUGGAAUUCCCAGUGUAGCGGUGAAAUGCGUAGAUAUUGGGAGGAACACCAGUGGCGAAGGCGACUACCUGGACGAUAACUGACGCUGAGGCACGAAAGCUAGGGGAGCAAACAGGAUUAGAUACCCUGGUAGUCCUAACCGUAAACGAUGGGUACUAGGUGUGGGUGGUUUCGAUACCAUCCGUGCCGUAGUUAACGCAUUAAGUACCCCGCCUGGGGAGUACGUGCGCAAGCAUGAAACUCAAAGGAAUUGACGGGGGCCCGCACAAGCGGUGGAGCAUGUGGUUUAAUUCGAAGCAACGCGAAGAACCUUACCAGGGUUUGACAUCCUCUGACGGCUGUAGAGAUACAGAAUUCUCUUCGGAGACAGAGAGACAGGUGGUGCAUGGUUGUCGUCAGCUCGUGUCGUGAGAUGUUGGGUUAAGUCCCGCAACGAGCGCAACCCCUGUCGCCAGUUGCCAUCAUUAAGUUGGGGACUCUGGCGAGACCGCCGUUGACAAAACGGAGGAAGGUGGGGAUGACGUCAAAUCAUCAUGCCCCUUACGUCCUGGGCUACACACGUACUACAAUGGUAGGAACAACGGGUGGCGCCGCCGCGAGGCGAAGCAAAUCUCCAAAUCCUAUCUCAGUUCGGAUUGCAGGCUGCAACUCGCCUGCAUGAAGCAGGAAUUGCUAGUAAUGGCAGGUCAUCAUACUGCCGUGAAUACGUUCCCGGGCCUUGUACACACCGCCCGUCACACCAUGAGAGUCUGUAACACCCGAAGCCGGUGGCCUAACCGCAAGGAGGGAGCCGUCGAAGGUGGGGCGGAUGAUUGGGGUGAAGUCGUAACAAGGUAGCCA